Long non-coding RNA from Cucurbita moschata (crookneck pumpkin), 2198 nucleotides. RefSeq lists it as uncharacterized. The record is from RefSeq and is a predicted model, not a curated record. NCBI's taxonomy places the organism in Eukaryota, Viridiplantae, Streptophyta, Magnoliopsida, Cucurbitales, Cucurbitaceae. The transcript is spliced from 6 exons.
CGUGAUUGUGGGAUCUGAUGGUGGCAAUUUGGUAAAACCGUAAAAGCGAGGAUUUGAUCUCUUCUCAAAUUUUCAAGUCUUCUUCGUCUCGGCUUCCGUCUGAAAGUUCUCGGAAAUGUUUCAAUAUGGGCGAUUUCGAGAUGUCGACGGCCUUGAAGAAUGCCUAUGCGUAUGAGGCCGCAAUACGGCGAAAGAAGCGGUGGCAUUGAUCUUGGUUUUGGAGAAGAAAGCCUCAGAUUGGAGAACCAGAUGCUGUAGUGAUAAUCGAAGAUAUUGGGUAAGAGUUGCGAGAAGUUACAAGUAAAUUGGAGAAAGUGAUGAACAGGAAACACAAACUGUGAAUGAGAAUAAAUUGGUAGGAAAUAUUACUACCAAGAUAGACAUAUCAUUACGGCCUCAGAAUUCUAUUGGUCGUAGUGAGUCCACGAUUAUCUUAAAUGGUUCUCCUCUGGAACAAGCGACAUCUCAUGACUUGUGGAAUGGACAUGUCAGGCUAAUGAUUCCUCUCAUGAAAUACUUAGCAGAACUGCAGAAGAGAUGAGAAAACCUAAGCGACACGAGCAAACGUGUGUGUUGAAUAUGAACGUGAUGCAGAAAGAUGAUACUGAUACUUGAGUGAGACUUUUCAGAAAAAGAAAAAGAGUACUCAGACAUGGGAUUAAAUAUUAUCCUUUAAACAGGCAACGUUUAAACAUUUACUUUCUCAAGCACACAAUUUGUAGAAAGCACAAGGACUUGUUGAAUAAUUCAGAUGGUAAUUCUUCUUGAAAUUGGAGCAUUUAAAAAGGAAGAUGGGGACGGUAGAGACUUAGAACUGAAGCUUCAUGGUUGAAAUAUCUUAAGACAGUCGGCAACCACCAUGCUUAGCACGUCAGGCAAUAGUCAUUUUAUUGUCAACAGGAGCGAGUUAAAGAAAAAGAAGCUUAGCGUUCAUGUAGGAAAGUAAGGGAAACACAAAGCCAGUUACUAGUCCCCCCNCCCCCCCCCCCCCCCCCCUAAUGCAUAAAGUGUUGAGGAAGGUUCCUUUCCCUUCUUUUGACUUCUCUUGAGCUUCUGUGUGGAACCAACUUCAAAGCAAAGACAAAGAUUAUAUGGAGGAACACCGAUAAAGCAAUUUCUUGGAGUUUAUGGCUUGAAAGAAUCGAAUUUCCAUGAGAGGAAUGGACUCUAAUUGGCAAAAUUUGAAUGCCCCUCCUAGACUUCCAUUCCCUUUCCAGUUUUGCUUGCGAUUUACGCUUAUUUGGAUGCCUUUCUGCUUACUCCUUCUAGGGGGAUAGAUUGAUUCCUCUUUUUUUUUUAAUCUAAACUUAUCUUUAUAUUUUUCAUCUCAGCCUCUUUGUAGACUUUUCUUCAACGUCUCUCAGCUUUUCCCCCCUUUGAGUUAAGCUUUCGGGAAUUUUUAUGUAGUUCCAAAUUCGUCACCUUUAUGUAAGGAGGAAGAAAAGAGUGCCAGAUCACUGGUUCGUCUCAAAAAAGAAUAUGAAAGAAGAAGCUUAAGUAGGUAAUAAUUUUUUAGUCGAGUGGUCGAACUUUUCAGCCUAAAGUGAGCAUCUUAUCCUGUCUGGUAGCGAAGUUAGUGGCAGGCCACAAGGCCUUCAAAGUAUCGUCCGUAGAGCAUGCCUCUGCAUUGCCUUUUUCUUUCUUUUUCUUUUUUUAAUCUUAUUAUUUCAUGGAUAAUUGCUGCUUUUUCAUAGAAAUGCUAGUUUUUGCCUUCAAUUGUGUUAACAAAAUCAUAUCUUGUUCUUUGUAACAUUUCAUUUUUAACCCUGACUGGCAAUUAGAUGAGUUUAGGGGGUUUCUUAUACCGACGACUGUUCAUAUUAGUUAAAUACGUAUAAUACACUAAAUAAGUUUUUAGGCCUUAUAGUUAAACACAAAGAAACAAGAUCGAAAAAUUCUGAUCAUAUAACUGAACUAUAAGAUCUUAAUUUGAAGCAUAAGUUUCUUGAUUUUUGGAAGUAGGCUUCUUUAGCAUAAGUAAUAUAGCGUUUGUUAGUUAAUAAACACACUAUGAACCAGAGGGGAGGGGUGAGGCCUUAUCCCCAUGUAUCUUCCUUCCUUCUGUAUAGUCUUCUUUUUUAAGAAAUACAUUAUAUUGCUGAAGUGUUCACAAAGCAUUGCUUAACAUGAUGAAUAAGUAUUGUAUGAAUUUGAAGGUAUUACACUUAAUGGUCCUUUCAUAUUAGUCCAUAUCUUAU